RNAcentral lists this ribosomal RNA (369 nucleotides) under uncultured eukaryote. RNAcentral describes it as "partial 18S ribosomal RNA". It matches the Rfam family "Eukaryotic small subunit ribosomal RNA", at positions 592 to 975 of the family's 1831-position model. The record is from RNAcentral.
CAAUAGCGUAUAUUAAAGUUGUUGCAGUUAAAAAGCUCGUAGUUGGAUUUCUGGUCGGAAGCUCCCGUCCUCUGAUGAGCGUACAAGUGCGUCCUACCAUCCUUCUGUUAACCUUUAAGGCUUUCGCGGCUUUCUAGGGGCUCAGAUAUUUUACCUUGAGAAAAUUAGAGUGUUUCAGGCAGGCUAGCGCCGGAAUACAUUAGCAUGGAAUAAUGGAAUAGGACUUUUGCCUCUUCUGUUGGUCAUGAGGCUCGAGUAAUGAUUAAUAGGGAUAGUUGGGGGCAUUAGUACUUAACUGUCAGAGGUGAAAUUCUCGGAUUUGUUAAAGACUAACUUAUGCGAAAGCAUUUGCCAAGGAUGUUUUCAUUA